CGGAGGGUGCGAGCGUUGCUCGGAAUCACUGGGCGUAAAGCGUACGCAGGCUGUUUCGUAAGACGGGUGUGAAAGCCCGGGGCUCAACCCCGGAAUUGCGCCCGUGACUGCGAAGCUUGAAUGCGGGAGAGGGAAGCGGAAUUCCUGGUGUAGAGGUGAAAUUCGUAGAUAUCAGGAGGAACACCGGUGGCGAAAGCAGCUUCCUGGCCCGACAUUGACGCUCAUGUACGAGAGCGUGGGGAGCAAACAGGAUUAGAUACCCUGGUAGUCCACGCUGUAAACGAUGAGUGCUAGCUGCUGGGAAUGUCUACCGUCUCAGUGGCGAAGCUAACGCAUUAAGCACUCCGCCUGGGAAGUACGGCCGCAAGGCUA
RNAcentral lists this ribosomal RNA (372 nucleotides) under uncultured organism. RNAcentral describes it as "bacterial SSU rRNA". It matches the Rfam family "Bacterial small subunit ribosomal RNA", at positions 526 to 896 of the family's 1533-position model. The record is from RNAcentral.